RNAcentral lists this transfer RNA (73 nucleotides) under Bos taurus (domestic cattle). It matches the Rfam family "tRNA". Rfam says of the family: Transfer RNA (tRNA) molecules are approximately 80 nucleotides in length. Their secondary structure includes four short double-helical elements and three loops (D, anti-codon, and T loops). The record is from Rfam by way of RNAcentral. RNAcentral also lists the same sequence under 4 other names. Lineage: Eukaryota; Metazoa; Chordata; Mammalia; Artiodactyla; Bovidae.
UCCCUGAUGGUCCAGUGGCUAGGACCCUGAGCUCCCAAUGCAGGGGGCCUGGGUUCAAUCCCUGGUCAGGGAA